CGAGGGAAGCCGGGCGGCAGGAACGCCGCCAACCCCGUCAGGCCCGAGAGGGAGCAGCGGCAACGGUUGUUCUUGGGUGUCCGGUUUCCCUGAAAG
Molecule: signal recognition particle RNA, 96 nt
Filed under: Desulfobaculum xiamenense
Lineage: Bacteria; Pseudomonadati; Thermodesulfobacteriota; Desulfovibrionia; Desulfovibrionales; Desulfovibrionaceae
Description: Desulfovibrionaceae bacterium P1 Bacterial small signal recognition particle RNA
Rfam family: Bacterial small signal recognition particle RNA
About the family: The signal recognition particle (SRP) is a universally conserved ribonucleoprotein involved in the co-translational targeting of proteins to membranes. Archaeal SRP consists of a 7S RNA and homologues of the eukaryotic SRP19 and SRP54 proteins.
Source: Rfam by way of RNAcentral